This 253-nucleotide ribosomal RNA is filed under the name uncultured bacterium. RNAcentral's name for it is "partial 16S ribosomal RNA". It matches the Rfam family "Bacterial small subunit ribosomal RNA", at positions 524 to 776 of the family's 1533-position model. The record is from RNAcentral.
UACGUAGGUGGCAAGCGUUGUCCGGAAUUACUGGGUGUAAAGGGCGUGUAGGCGGGACUGCAAGUCAGAUGUGAAAUUCCCAGGCUCAACCUGGGGGCUGCAUCUGAAACUGUGGUUCUUGAGUGCGGGAGAGGAAAGCGGAAUUCCUGGUGUAGCGGUGAAAUGCGUAGAUAUUAGGAGGAACACCAGUGGCGAAGGCGGCUUUCUGGACAGUAACUGACGCUGAUGCGCGAAAGCGUGGGGAGCAAACAGG